This 650-nucleotide ribosomal RNA is filed under the name Thermococcus sp. Tc95-MC-I. RNAcentral's name for it is "bacterial SSU rRNA". It matches the Rfam family "Archaeal small subunit ribosomal RNA", at positions 66 to 714 of the family's 1478-position model. The record is from RNAcentral. Lineage: Archaea; Methanobacteriati; Methanobacteriota; Thermococci; Thermococcales; Thermococcaceae.
UGGGACACCACCGGCGGACGGCUCAGUAACACGUCGGUAACCUACCCUCGGGAGGGGGAUAACCCCGGGAAACUGGGGCUAAUCCCCCAUAGGUGUGGGGUACUGGAAGGUCCCCACACCGAAAGGGGCUUCGUGCCCGCCCGAGGAUGGGCCGGCGGCCGAUUAGGUAGUUGGUGGGGUAACGGCCCACCAAGCCGAAGAUCGGUACGGGCCAUGAGAGUGGGAGCCCGGAGAUGGACACUGAGACACGGGUCCAGGCCCUACGGGGCGCAGCAGGCGCGAAACCUCCGCAAUGCGGGAAACCGCGACGGGGGGACCCCCAGUGCCGUGGCAACGCCACGGCUUUUCCGGAGUGUAAAAAGCUCCGGGAAUAAGGGCUGGGCAAGGCCGGUGGCAGCCGCCGCGGUAAUACCGGCGGCCCGAGUGGUGGCCGCUAUUAUUGGGCCUAAAGCGUCCGUAGCCGGGCCCGUAAGUCCCUGGCGAAAUCCCACGGCUCAACCGUGGGGCUUGCUGGGGAUACUGCGGGCCUUGGGACCGGGAGAGGCGGGGGGUACCCCUGGGGUAGGGGUGAAAUCCUAUAAUCCCAGGGGGACCGCCAGUGGCGAAGGCGCCCCGCUGGAACGGGUCCGACGGUGAGGGACGAAGGCCAG